AUGGGGGGAAAUCAGUGUAGAAAGAAAUUUUCUGGUGGCACCUUCAUGGGACUCCUCACAACUCCAAAAUACUUAGGAACCUUCUAUGCUCAGAAGAGGACACAAAUGGCUGUUAGAAAUUCCUUGCAAUGUUGCAAUGAUGGUUCCAGUUGCUUCACUGUUUCCCAAGGGGAUGGAGUAUUGCUCUGUCACCAGCUUGGAGUGCAGGAUGCGAUCUUGGCUGACUGCCAGGCUCAAGUCGUUCUUCUGCCUCAGCCUCCUGAGUGUCUGGGACUACAGGCGCAUGCCACCAUGUCCAGCUAAUUUUUGUAUCUUUAGUAGAGACAGGGUUUCACCAUGUUGGCCAGGAUGGCCUUGAUCUCUUGACCUCCUGAUCCACCCGCCUUGGCCUCCCAAAGUGCUGGGAUUACAGGCAUGAGCCACUGCGCCUGGCUGCCUUACACUUUCUUGUCUGAUUCUUGUCUGUAUUGCUCAUCUAGACUGCAAACUCCAAAAAGGUAGGUGAUUUUGUUUCAUCCAUUUCUGUAGCCCAGUCCUGGCCCAUGGUAGGCAGCUGAUCACAUUUGUUAAAUGAACGCCUAAUGAAGUAACUAGAAUUUGGGGGGAGCCCUAGCACAGCUCCAGAGGAAGAUUUUUAAAAAUAUUUCUCUCUGUUACCCAGGCUGGAGUACAGUGGCACAAUCUUGGCUCACUGCAACCUCUGCCUCCCAGGUUAGGUGAUUUUCCCACCUUAGGCUCCCAAGUAACUGGGAUUACAGGUGUGCACCAUCAUGCCUGGCUAAUUUUGUAUUUUUAGUAGAGAUAGGGUUUUGCCAUGUUGGCCAGGCUGGUCUCAAACUCCUGACCUCAAGUGAUCCACCCACUUUGGCCUCCCAAAGUGCUGGGAUUACAGACUUGAGCCACUGUGCUGGGCCCAGAGGGAGAUUUUUUUAAGGCCCUGGAAGAUAAAUGGAGAGAGACUAGAGGAAAGAAAAAAUCCAUUAACAAAUGAUACUUG
RNAcentral lists this long non-coding RNA (997 nucleotides) under Callithrix jacchus (white-tufted-ear marmoset). Its description in RNAcentral is "lncRNA (ENSCJAG00000076148.1)". The record is from RNAcentral. Lineage: Eukaryota; Metazoa; Chordata; Mammalia; Primates; Cebidae.